GUUUGCUUUGGCACACAUAUACUAAAAGUUAAUACAGGGAAGAUUAGCGUGGUCCCUGCACAAGGAUGACAAGCAAAUUUGUAAAGCAUUGCAUAUUUUG
This 100-nucleotide small nuclear RNA is filed under the name Carlito syrichta (Philippine tarsier). Lineage: Eukaryota; Metazoa; Chordata; Mammalia; Primates; Tarsiidae. The record is from RNAcentral.